Long non-coding RNA from Erinaceus europaeus (western European hedgehog), 416 nucleotides. RefSeq lists it as uncharacterized. Lineage: Eukaryota; Metazoa; Chordata; Mammalia; Eulipotyphla; Erinaceidae. The transcript has 3 exons. The record is from RefSeq and is a predicted model, not a curated record.
GACGCGGGGGAGCAGGCCGGGCGCGCAUUACCUUCCGCCGGACCCUCGUAGAAGUGGCCGCUGUUGGGCGCCAGGCCGGGCCCAAGGUCCUGCAGGAGGACCUGCUUUGCAGGCAUUUGCUGGCACCAGGAUGUAGCAAAGAGUGAGACAGAUGUGAGCCCUGCCUUCAUUGAUGCACAUUUUGCUGGAAUGGAAGUGUCACCUUCAUGAUGAAAGAAGAAAAAAAAAAUCGGGUGUUUGGAUGUGAAUUGGAAUGAAAUCUGGUGUUGAGAGCAGCAUUCCUGGCUUCUAGCUAUAAGGGUUAUUGCUGGGACUCAGAGCCUGCAUCAUGAGCACACCACCUCCAGUGGAAACUUUCCCCCAUUGUUUAUCAUUCUUUUUUACUUUAUUAAAAAAUAUUUAUUUAUUCCCUUUUG